RNAcentral lists this unclassified non-coding RNA (586 nucleotides) under Hevea brasiliensis (rubber tree). Lineage: Eukaryota; Viridiplantae; Streptophyta; Magnoliopsida; Malpighiales; Euphorbiaceae. The record is from RNAcentral.
UGGACAUGACUAAACCAUCUUAAUGGACUCUUUUUAUCUACAAUAUGCACCACAUGUAUUCUCUAAUGAAUGUAAGAUUGAUAAGGACAAAUGGCAUUAAAUUCCAUAGUUAUUUCCUCUCAACUCUUAGGAUCAUCCUCUAGGUCCUCCACAUCUUGUCUUUGUUAUGAUAGAAGAAGAAAAUCUUUUAAAGGGAUGCUUAGUAAGAUACGUGGUGUUUAAUUGAAAACAACUCAGCCAAGCAUGAUGCCUGCAGCAGUUGGCUAAGCCACAAGAAUGUCAAUCUUGGCUGCAUCCACCUUGUCUGCAUCCACCUUGUCUAGAGCUAAUCGCUGUGGCUUAUGGAAAAAAGCUAUAGCAGGGGUGUUGAAGUUGGUUCACUACUGGAUUAUGAUCAUUGCCACCUGUAUAUAAAAUUGUUACUUUAGAUCAUUAUUUAUAUGUAUUCAAUAAUAUGGGGGUAAGCACUAAGCACACAUUUAAGAACUUGAGCAUAUCAAGUGAUAGAAUUAAUAGCUUCAAUUUACUUUAUCAGUAGCCAGUGUAUGAUACUUGUCUGCUAAUGAUAAUUAUAAUAUUUUUGUUU